This 1238-nucleotide long non-coding RNA is filed under the name Vitis vinifera (wine grape). RNAcentral's name for it is "long non-coding RNA (VVIN_LNC000707)". Lineage: Eukaryota; Viridiplantae; Streptophyta; Magnoliopsida; Vitales; Vitaceae. The record is from RNAcentral.
GAUAUUUCAUAUAUAUUUUGCACUUUCUCUUUCUUGACAAGCAAACAAGCAAUUGAGGAAAGAAAUACUGGGAAUCUUUCUUGACAAGCAAACAAGCAAUCGAGGAAAGAAAUACUGGGAAUCAAUUAAUCGUAGAGAAGUCAAAUCAGAAGAGCAUACCAGUAAUGUUCUUAUCCCUUGGAGCAUCAACCAACAGUGCAGGUCCUGAUCAAAUCAACAGAUAAAAUCAAUAAGUAAAAUCCAUAGUCACAUUUCCUCAAAGUUAUUCUAAAAACAAACACAUCUUUUAUGUUCUCCUAUUGUUAAAGCUUCUUCCUAAAUCCUCACUCUCAUUGGCCGGAAGAAUAGUGUUUGGGAUUUCAAAGGGGUUCAAGACAAUUCCUGAAUAUUUAAUUCCGAAAAUGACUGAAAAUGAAAGCCCAUACUUGACUUUUGCUCUGUACUCCAUAUGUUUUUGUUUCCUUGACUUUCUAAAAACAGGAAAUAAAAACAAUUUCAUAAAUCAAAACAUAACCCUAAUGUUUGUGAUAUUUUAGGUAGGACUCUUUCCAAGCUCAGGCGUAGUUUUGGAAAUGACAGUUUUGCCCAUUCAGUUCCUGUGUAUGCUGUUUUCGCCUUUGUGAUUUGCCUCCUCCAGGCGAGUAUACUUUUCCUUUCUUUUGAGAUAAGACUUUCCCAAAUCCUUAUUUUAUUAGAAAAAAAUUUCCUUUUCUGUUUGACAUUUUCUCGACAACCAAGCAGCAAGUUUGGAUGAUUACCGUUGAGAACUUCAAGGUCAAGAGUCUCGACGUCGAAGCCAGCAUCGAAGUAGUGGUCGAAGACGUGGCCCGGCGAGUCAACGUGCGUGCCGGUAUGAGUGGGCAUUUUCAUGUGAGAGUUAUUGGUGAUAGAUCCGUUCUUCAUACUCUUCUCCAACCAUAUGACCUCGCCGAUUCCCUCGUCGGUCCCAAAGGUGGGCAUGUUGGGGGUGUAUGGGUGAGUGAUGUCGAAGAUACGUCCGUCGGCGUAGACCUCUCGUUUCACGGGGAUGAGCUCGACGUUGCAGGAGCCCGAGCCGUAGGCAGAGGGAUAAGCCUCGGAGGCGAAGGAAGAGGGGAGGAAGAGAGUGGCCACAGUGACCACCCCGGCGCAGAGCAGUGGGAGCAACAGCGAGGAUCCCAUGGUGGUGAAGAUUGAAGAAGAGAGAAGAGUCACUGAGGGAUAUCCAAGCUCACUGGUUGAAGGGCCUUAUAUAAAAG